GCCUCAGUAGCUCAGUCUGGCAGAGCGCCUGCUUGGUAAGCAGGAGGUCGCGGGUUCAAAUCCCGCCUGAGGCU
This 74-nucleotide transfer RNA is filed under the name Candidatus Altarchaeales archaeon. Its description in RNAcentral is "Candidatus Altiarchaeales archaeon tRNA-Thr". It matches the Rfam family "tRNA". From Rfam's summary of the family: Transfer RNA (tRNA) molecules are approximately 80 nucleotides in length. Lineage: Archaea; Nanobdellati; Candidatus Altarchaeota; Candidatus Altarchaeia; Candidatus Altarchaeales. RNAcentral also lists the same sequence under 1 other name. The record is from RNAcentral.